Long non-coding RNA from Denticeps clupeoides (denticle herring), 1056 nucleotides. The record is from Ensembl. NCBI's taxonomy places the organism in Eukaryota, Metazoa, Chordata, Actinopteri, Clupeiformes, Denticipitidae.
GGGGCUUUAUGCUCCCCUGCAGAGAGGAGGGUCAUGUGUCUGGGGCGCCGGGCGAGACCAUGUGACGUUAAUCCAUCUCUCUCCCUCACACACACACACACACACUCACACACACUCCCGCUCAGCCACCCAGCGGAAAGAGAGACAGCAGGUUCCUGCUGAACCACGUUCCUGUCUACCUUCUACACGGUGUUCUAUACGGUGUUAUGUAACGUUCUGGAGGCCAAACGUACAGAAUUCUGUUGAAAUAUGGCGAGCUUGAAUGGGAAAUAAAACAUAUUGACCCCUGAGAGCCACCAGGAACCCGUGUCACUGUUCAGGGACCAGAGCAGCAGGUGCGUCCAGAUAGGAAAGUUAUUGGAGUAAAAGAGCUGGACGCAGCGUCCCCACCCCCCUCCCCGGGGACGGGGACUGGAAUGGAGGUGGCGGGGGAGGGGCUCUGCUGGCCUGACGGUGUCACUUCCCUCCACUUUGGCCUGGCCGCCUGCCAGAGAGACACGGCGGCCAGCGGCAAGAUCCGGAGUGGAGUCCGGCCACCGUGGACCGACACCAACGUCAUUACAUCUACAACUCAACACGAAAAAAAGGGGACUUUCCACCAGCAGCGUUCCGUCUUUCUAUCUGCGUGACGAAGUACUAGAUGCAGCCGAGAGAGUCUGGACACAGAAGAUGCGAAAAGGCCACCAGGUUCCAGGUUCUGGGCUCCUCUAACCUGUUGGUCAUCAUGGCUCCAGGUUCCAGGUUUGUCUCUCCUCUGCUGGUCAUCUCGGCUCCAGGCUCCAGGUUCCUCACUCCUGCUGGUCAGCAGGGUUCCAAGUGUCAGGUUCCUCUGUCCUGAUGAUCAGCACUGUUCCAGGUUCCUCUCUCCUGAUGGUCAUUACAGCUCCAGGUUCUACUUUCCUGCUGGUCAUCACAGCACCAUCUUCCAGGUUCCUCUCUCCUGCCGAUCACCUCGGCUCCAGGCUCCAGGUUCUAGGUUCCUCUCUCCUGCCGAUCACCUCGGCUCCAGGUUCUAGGUUCCUUUCUCCUGCUGGUCAUCUCGGUUCCAGGUUCUAG